AUUGAACGCUGGCGGCAGGCCUAACACAUGCGAGUCGAGCGGAUGAAGGGAGCUUGCUCCUGGACUCAGCGGCGGACGGGUGAGUAAUGCCUAGGAAUCUGCCUGGUCGUGGGGGAUAACGUCCGGAAACGGGCGCUAAUACCGCAUCCGUCCUGAGGGAGAAAGUGGGGGAUCUUCGGAUGUCACGCUAUCAGAUGAGCCUAGGUCGGAUUAGCUAGUUGGUGGGGUAAAGGCCUACCAAGGCGACGAUCCGUAACUGGUCUGAGAGGAAGGUCAGUCACACUGGAACAGAGACUGGGUCCAGACUCCUACGGUGGGCAGCAGUGGGGAAUAUUGGGCGAUGGGCGAGAGCCUGAUCCAGCCAUGCCGCGUGUGUGAAGAAGGUCUUCGGAUGGUAGAGCGCUUUAAGUUGGGGGGAAGGGCAGUAAGUUAAUACCUUGCGGUAUUGACGUUACCAACAGAAUAAGCACCGGCUAACUUCGUG
Molecule: ribosomal RNA, 484 nt
Filed under: uncultured bacterium
Lineage: Bacteria
Description: partial 16S ribosomal RNA
Rfam family: Bacterial small subunit ribosomal RNA
Source: RNAcentral